Molecule: ribosomal RNA, 337 nt
Filed under: uncultured bacterium
Lineage: Bacteria
Description: bacterial SSU rRNA
Rfam family: Bacterial small subunit ribosomal RNA
Source: RNAcentral
UCCAGACUCCUACGGGAGGCAGCAGUGGGGAAUAUUGCACAAUGGGGGAAACCCUGAUGCAGCGACGCCGCGUGAGCGAUGAAGUAUUUCGGUAUGUAAAGCUCUAUCAGCAGGGAAGAAGAUGACGGUACCUGACUAAGAAGCCCUGGCUAACUACGUGCCAGCAGCCGCGGUAAUACGUAGGGGGCAAGCGUUAUCCGGAUUUACUGGGUGUAAAGGGAGCGUAGACGGCGAUGCAAGCCAGAUGUGAAAGCCCGGGGCCCAACCCCGGGACUGCUUUGGAAACUGUGUAACUGGAGUACAGGAGGGGCAGGCGGAAUUCCUGGUGUAGCGGUGA